Long non-coding RNA from Scomber japonicus (chub mackerel), 194 nucleotides. RefSeq lists it as uncharacterized. The transcript is spliced from 3 exons. The record is from RefSeq and is a predicted model, not a curated record. NCBI's taxonomy places the organism in Eukaryota, Metazoa, Chordata, Actinopteri, Scombriformes, Scombridae.
GUGGUGAUGUUUGACUUUGUGGAGUACAAGGCAGUCCCUGACAUUCAGCAAAUUAUUACGGACCCUGUACAAGCUGUAAACGAUGCUGUUGACGAAGUAUCCAGUCUGCUCAAUAAGUUUCAAGAAUGUGCGCCUGAUUUAAGUGACCCCAUGUCUGCUGCCACGUAUGCGGCCGAGGAAAUAGCAGAAGUAAA